GAUGAAGUGGCGGAAUGAGGUAGUAAGGUCGUAAAGACAACUAAAACUCUAGGUCAGACGCCUAUUGGUCGCAACCAGUAGAAAAAGAAGUGCGCAAUUCAUGUGGGUUCGAAUCCCUCCUUCAUCA
This 127-nucleotide transfer RNA is filed under the name Rhizosphaericola mali. Its description in RNAcentral is "Arachidicoccus sp. B3-10 tRNA-OTHER". It matches the Rfam family "tRNA". Rfam says of the family: Transfer RNA (tRNA) molecules are approximately 80 nucleotides in length. Their secondary structure includes four short double-helical elements and three loops (D, anti-codon, and T loops). Further hydrogen bonds mediate the characteristic L-shaped molecular structure. tRNAs have two regions of fundamental functional importance: the anti-codon, which is responsible for specific mRNA codon recognition, and the 3' end, to which the tRNAs corresponding amino acid is attached (by aminoacyl-tRNA synthetases). tRNAs cope with the degeneracy of the genetic code in two manners: having more than one tRNA (with a specific anti-codon) for a particular amino acid; and 'wobble' base-pairing, i.e. permitting non-standard base-pairing at the 3rd anti-codon position. Lineage: Bacteria; Pseudomonadati; Bacteroidota; Chitinophagia; Chitinophagales; Chitinophagaceae. The record is from RNAcentral.